GGGCUCCCAAAGUGCUGGGAUUACAGGCAUGAGCCACCGUGCCCAGCCCCAAUGUUGAAAUAAAAUCCAAUAAUCGGAGAGCUCCUGGAAUCUAUGAUGUGAUCAGAAGAUGGAGCAGUAAUUUAAAACUGAUUUUAGCCUCCGUGUGACCCAACGUUGUUGAAGGGCUGCCAAAAAAAAUGUGAUUUUGAUGACUGGAGCCCAAGAAGUCGUCUUGGACCAUGAAGUAAAAGUCUUAUGUUAACAACAGAAGAGCAACAAGACAGAAGACCAGUUCCCUGAUCAUCAUAUUGCUGCCAUGCUAGCCCUGGCGUGCCUUUGUCUGUGUGAGUGAGAAAUACACUUUUAUAGUAUUUAUAUUACUGAUAUUUUGGAGUGUUGAGGAAGGAUGUGAAUUACUGUGCUCAUAGGACAGAUUAUUAUUUUUUCUUUUUUUUUUUUCGAGCCGGAGUCUCACUCUGUCACCCAGGCUGGAGUGCAGUGGCAUAAUCUCGGCCAAUUCUCCUCCAAAGGAAUGCAGCUCCUUGCCAGCAAUGGAACAAAGCUGGACAGAGAAUGACUUUCAUGAGUUGAGAGAAGAAGGCUUCAGAAGAUCGGUAAUAACAAACUUCUCUGAGCUAAAGGAGAAUGUUUGAACCUAUCGCAAAGAAGGCCUUCAAACCAAUGGCUCCUCUGGGGUGACUUCGGUCAAGAGUUUGGCUUUUUCAUCAACAAUUUGAACCAGCAAGAAAGUGUGGAAAAUAGCGCUGAUGAGAAAAACCCAGUUUUCUAGGCUAGAGGCGUGGGUCUGCCCAACUGCUGAGAGGCUUCUCCAACAUGGCUCACCAUUCCUAGAAGUGGUGUGUGGCGGAGCUUGUGCAGAAUAUCAUAUCAGGACAUACCUGCACCAGUUAGUCUAGGCCAGAUCUUUUGACUAUGGGAGAGACUGGGUCCGCGGACCCACGCGUAAGAUGUUUUCCACGCUGUUGGUAAAUCAGUGGCCUUUUUCCCCCCGAGUGAAUGAAUUUGGGAAUAGUACCCGAAUCAGAAAAGUUUCUGAGGAUUUCUCCUGGAAUUCCAAGGGUCUGUAAAUCCUGUGGCUGGCUGGGAGCCUACGUUGAUGAUCUUUAAUGCAGAAGAGGAUGUAUUUGAGCAUCUGGCCUGGAAAUUGACUAAAUCUGUCUAUAGCAUAAUUGGUUCAGAAAGAGCUGGAAGACAAAUCGAGAAUGGUGGGCGUAAAUAGAAGAAAAGGUGGCAGAAGGGGAGCCAGAUGGAUGAGCUGAGACACAAAACACACACAAACAAAGGCUGCUUGGGAUGCCAGCAGAGCACAUUUGCAUCUGGGGUCCAGAACAGGAUGGUCACAAGGGAGCCUCCUUGGUCUGGAGAUGUCAAGACCCAACAUCCAGCUCCCAGGACAGAGCCUAUCCCUAAACAGCAAGAACCCAACCACCUUCCACAUGGGGCAAUCUCUGAGCACACUGGGAUGGGUGGUCCAAAUUGGCUUUCUUAGUGAAUUCAGAACACAAAAAAUUCAUUGAAAAAUCAGUGGAUUUCUUAGAGAAUUUAGGCUCACAGCUGAUGCAGAGGUCUGAUCAGAGACAGAUUAGGGAAAGAUGAUUUCUUCGUUACUAUAUAUAAUUUUUCCUUUUGCACGGUGCCAUUCCAAGGCAGCCGAAAUAUAUUCCGUUUGCAAUUCUUACAGGGUGUUUAGAGUAGUAGCUUGCAUGUGGUGGGCCCUCAAUACUAUGUGUGGUGAUAGAGAGAUUUCCUUAUUUGAUCAAGCCUUGCUGCAGCCAGGAGGGAAUCAAUAGUUAAAAAUGUCUGCUGCUGAAUUGCUUCUCAUGCUCAUUUGCCGGCGGUGAGGGAGAGGGUGUUGUCAAGCAGCCUUAACUUCUAUCUGCACCCAACAGAUACCUAUAAUUAAAAAAUAAUAAAUUUUGCAUUUACUUACAAACACUGAAGCAAUUUUCAGAGUAUCAAAAAGAGCAUGGGAGAGACCAUCGCAGUGAGAGGUGACAUUGAGCCAGGUGCAUUGAACAGCACAACCAUAAAUAAUUACAUUGCCCUUUUCAGAACUGCGACGCGUGACCUACCCAAUUAAGCCUCCCAGAGUCUCAUUCUGAUGGCCCAUAGUUCACGACAUCCUUCCCACAUUUGUCAUAACAGCUUUGUUUUCUGCAUCUGCUUUCUUUCACAGUUUGCACCCCGUGCAGUCAAAUUUCAUGCUUCCAAAAUGAAAAAUAAAACUGCCAGUUCUCGUCUCUUUGGGGGAAAUUAGUCUUCUUUCUCCCAUAAAUUAUAAGCAUGCUUCAGCUGUAAACAGAGCAUUAGCAACUCUGGAAGUACAUUAACUUCCGUUAUUGGCAAGACCUGAGGUUACUGAGAUUUGCUGAUUUUAACUUAGGGAGGGGAAGGCAGGUAGCUGCAGAGUGGGUGGGAGGUGUGGAUUAUUUACCAUUUCAGUAGAAGGAAGGACGUUCUCAUCCGUGCAACCCCAGUUUAUGCUGCUUGUCACAGCACAAGUAUGAAAAGCAUCCCUUUCCCUCUAAAAGUGUCCCAGUUUGGAUGACAAAUUAUAUGGUCACUCUGAUUAAAAUGCAAAUAAAAUAUGGAGCAAAAGCUUGUUUUGUGAGUGAAGCCAGACACAAAAGGCCACAUGUUGUGUGAUCUCAUUUAUUUGAAAUGUCCAGAAUAAGCAAAUCCAUAGAAGGAGAAAGUAGAUUAGUAGUUGCCAGGGGCUGGGGGUUCCUGGGGGAAAUGGGAAAGGAUUUCUAAUGGGUAUGAGAUUUCUUUAUGGGGUGAGAAAAAUGUUCUAAAAUUGAUUGUGGUGAUGGCUGCAUGACUCUGUGAAUAUGCUAAAAACCAUUGAAUUGUACCUGUUAAAUAGGUAAAUUGGAUGGCACAUAGAUUAUAAGUCAAUAAAGUUGUUCUAUUGAAACAAAA
This is a non-coding RNA of Macaca mulatta (Rhesus monkey), 2925 nucleotides long. The record is from RefSeq and is a predicted model, not a curated record. Lineage: Eukaryota; Metazoa; Chordata; Mammalia; Primates; Cercopithecidae.